This 483-nucleotide ribosomal RNA is filed under the name uncultured bacterium. RNAcentral describes it as "bacterial SSU rRNA". It matches the Rfam family "Bacterial small subunit ribosomal RNA", at positions 67 to 546 of the family's 1533-position model. The record is from RNAcentral.
GGAGCGAGGGUGCUUGCACCUUAGCUUAGCGGCGGACGGGUGAGUAAUGCUUAGGAAUCUGCCUAUUAGUGGGGGACAACAUUCCGAAAGGAAUGCUAAUACCGCAUACGCCCUACGGGGGAAAGCAGGGGAUCUUCGGACCUUACGCUAAUAGAUGAGCCUAAGUCGGAUUAGCUAGUUGGUGGGGUAAAGGCCUACCAAGGCGACGAUCUGUAGCGGGUCUGAGAGGAUGAUCCGCCACACUGGGACUGAGACACGGCCCAGACUCCUACGGGAGGCAGCAAUGGGGAAUAUUGGACAAUGGGCGGAAGCCUGAUCCAGCCAUGCCGCGUGUGUGAAGAAGGCCUUUUGGUUGUAAAGCACUUUAAGCGAGGAGGAGGCUACUUAGAUUAAUACUCUAGGAUAGUGGACGUUACUCGCAGAAUAAGCACCGGCUAACUCUGUGCCAGCAGCCGCGGUAAUACGGAGGUGCGAGCGUUAAUC